UACGUAGGGUGCGAGCGUUCAUCGGAAUUACUGGGCGUAAAGCGUGCGCAGGCGGUUGUACAAGACAGGUGUGAAAUCCCCGGGCUUAACCUGGGAACUGCACUUGUGACUGUACGACUGGAGUACGGCAGAGGGGGAUGGAAUUCCGCGUGUAGCAGUGAAAUGCGUAGAUAUGCGGAGGAACACCGAUGGCGAAGGCAAUCCCCUGGGCCUGUACUGACGCUCAUGCACGAAAGCGUGGGGAGCAAACAGG
RNAcentral lists this ribosomal RNA (253 nucleotides) under uncultured bacterium. Its description in RNAcentral is "partial 16S ribosomal RNA". It matches the Rfam family "Bacterial small subunit ribosomal RNA", at positions 524 to 776 of the family's 1533-position model. The record is from RNAcentral.